AUUGAACGCUGGCGGCAUGCUUUACACAUGCAAGUCGAACGGCAGCACGGGUGCUUGCACCUGGUGGCGAGUGGCGAACGGGUGAGUAAUGCAUCGGAACGUGCCCAUGAGUGGGGGAUAGCCCGGCGAAAGCCGGAUUAAUACCGCAUACGCCCUUAGGGGGAAAGCGGGGGAUCUUCGGACCUCGCGCUAUUGGAGCGGCCGAUGUCGGAUUAGCUAGUAGGUGAGGUAAAGGCUCACCUAGGCGACGAUCCGUAGCUGGUCUGGGAGGAUGAUCAGCCACACUGGGACUGAGACACGGCCCAGACUCCUACGGGAGGCAGCAGUGGGGAAUUUUGGACAAUGGGCGCAAGCCUGAUCCAGCCAUGCCGCGUGAGUGAAGAAGGCCUCGGUUGUAAGCUCUUCUAGGUGGAAGAAAUAAGACGCUGUUAA
This 432-nucleotide ribosomal RNA is filed under the name uncultured bacterium. RNAcentral's name for it is "bacterial SSU rRNA". It matches the Rfam family "Bacterial small subunit ribosomal RNA", at positions 30 to 463 of the family's 1533-position model. The record is from RNAcentral.